UACGUAGGGGGGCAAGCGUUGUCCGGAAUCAUUGGGCGUAAAGCGCGUGUAGGCGGCUCGAUAAGUCUGCUGUGAAAGUCCAGGGCUCAACCCUGGGAUGCCGGUGGAUACUGUCGAGCUCGAGUCCGGAAGAGGCGAGUGGAAUUCCUGGUGUAGCGGUGAAAUGCGCAGAUAUCAGGAGGAACACCAAUGGCGAAGGCAGCUCGCUGGGACGUGACUGACGCUGAGACGCGAAAGCGUGGGGAGCAAACAGG
This 254-nucleotide ribosomal RNA is filed under the name uncultured bacterium. RNAcentral describes it as "partial 16S ribosomal RNA". It matches the Rfam family "Bacterial small subunit ribosomal RNA", at positions 524 to 776 of the family's 1533-position model. The record is from RNAcentral.